CAGUGAUAAACUGGAGGAAGGUGGGGAUGACGUCAAGUCAUCAUGGCCCUUACGACCAGGGCUACACACGUGCUACAAUGGCAUAUACAAAGAGAAGCGACCUCGCGAGAGCAAGCGGACCUCAUAAAGUAUGUCGUAGUCCGGAUUGGAGUCUGCAACUCGACUCCAUGAAGUCGGAAUCGCUAGUAAUCGUAGAUCAGAAUGCUACGGUGAAUACGUUCCCGGGCCUUGUACACACCGCCCGUCACACCAUGGGAGUGGGUUGCAAAAGAAGUAGGUAGCUUAACCUUCGGGAGGGCGCUUACCACUUUGUGAUUCAUGACUGGGGUGAAGUCGUAACAAGGUAACCGUAGGG
RNAcentral lists this ribosomal RNA (355 nucleotides) under Klebsiella pneumoniae. RNAcentral's name for it is "bacterial SSU rRNA". It matches the Rfam family "Bacterial small subunit ribosomal RNA", at positions 1153 to 1507 of the family's 1533-position model. The record is from RNAcentral. Lineage: Bacteria; Pseudomonadati; Pseudomonadota; Gammaproteobacteria; Enterobacterales; Enterobacteriaceae.